Molecule: ribosomal RNA, 440 nt
Filed under: uncultured bacterium
Lineage: Bacteria
Description: partial 16S ribosomal RNA
Rfam family: Bacterial small subunit ribosomal RNA
Source: RNAcentral
CUACGGGUUGCAGCAGUGAGGAAUAUUGCACAAUGGGGGGAACCCUGAUGCAGCAACGCCGCGUGGAGGAUGACGCAUUUCGGUGUGUAAACUCCUUUUAUAUGUCAAGAAAAUGACGGUAGCAUAUGAAUAAGCACCGGCUAACUCCGUGCCAGCAGCCGCGGUAAUACGGAGGGGUGCAAGCGUUACUCGGAAUCACUGGGCGUAAAGGACGCGUAGGCGGGUUGGAAAGUCAGGUGUGAAAUCCUACAGCUUAACUGUAGAACUGCACUUGAAACUUCUAAUCUAGAGUAUGGGAGGGGGAGAUGGAAUUAGUGGUGUAGUGGUAAAAUCCGUAGAUAUCACUAGGAAUACCUAAAGCGAAGGCGAUCUCCUGGAACAUUACUGACGCUAAGGCGUGAAAGCGUGGGGAGCAAACAGGAUUAGAUACCCCUGUAGUC